GGGGAAUAUUGGACAAUGGGCGCAAGCCUGAUCCAGCAAUACCGCGUGUGUGAAGAAGGCCUGCGGGUUGUAAAGCACUUUUAGUGGGGAAGAUAAUGACGUUACCCACAGAAAAAGCACCGGCUAACUCCGUGCCAGCAGCCGCGGUAAUACGGAGGGUGCAAGCGUUAAUCGGAAUUACUGGGCGUAAAGCGUGCGUAGGCGGCUCUUUAAGUCGGAUGUGAAAUCCCCGGGCUCAACCUGGGAACUGCAUCCGAUACUGGGGAGUUAGAAUGUGGGAGAGGGAAGUGGAAUUUCCGGUGUAGCGGUGAAAUGCAUAGAGAUCGGAAGGAACAUCAGUGGCGAAGGCGACUUCCUGGACCAACAGUGACGCUGAGGCACGAAAGCGUGGGUAGCAAAC
This 400-nucleotide ribosomal RNA is filed under the name uncultured bacterium. RNAcentral describes it as "bacterial SSU rRNA". It matches the Rfam family "Bacterial small subunit ribosomal RNA", at positions 356 to 773 of the family's 1533-position model. The record is from RNAcentral.